Molecule: ribosomal RNA, 486 nt
Filed under: uncultured bacterium
Lineage: Bacteria
Description: bacterial SSU rRNA
Rfam family: Bacterial small subunit ribosomal RNA
Source: RNAcentral
GACGAACGCUGGCGGCGUGCUUAACACAUGCAAGUCGAACGAUGAAGCUGGAGCUUGCUCUGGUGGAUUAGUGGCGAACGGGUGAGUAACACGUGAGUAACCUGCCCUCCACUCUGGGAUAAGCGCUGGAAACGGCGUCUAAUACCGGAUAUGAGCUUCCACCGCAUGGUGGGGGUUGGAAAGAAUUUCGGUGGGGGAUGGACUCGCGGCCUAUCAGCUUGUUGGUGAGGUAAUGGCUCACCAAGGCGACGACGGGUAGCCGGCCUGAGAGGGUGACCGGCCACACUGGGACUGAGACACGGCCCAGACUCCUACGGGAGGCAGCAGUGGGGAAUAUUGCACAAUGGGCGCAAGCCUGAUGCAGCAACGCCGCGUGAGGGAUGACGGCCUUCGGGUUGUAAACCUCUUUUAGCAGGGAAGAAGCGAAAGUGACGGUACCUGCAGAAAAAGCACCGGCUAACUACGUGCCAGCCGCCGCGGUAACAC